RNAcentral lists this long non-coding RNA (5607 nucleotides) under Sus scrofa (pig). Its description in RNAcentral is "lncRNA (ENSSSCG00005018827.1)". The record is from RNAcentral. Lineage: Eukaryota; Metazoa; Chordata; Mammalia; Artiodactyla; Suidae.
AUCAAUUCCAGGGCAGAAAUAAAGGGAACAGCUGCCGGAAUUCAGCAGAAGGAGGAACGCAGAGCCACACAAUUAGCCCAAGUCACCACCUUCAGGUUCUAUUAUACAUGUGACAUCGUCUGGCUCCGGACAGAGCAGUGUCUGGAACACACCUUCGCUAGGAGGUAUGGAACAAACAAAAGAAGACAAUUACCAAGUGGGAUAGUGAAUAAAAGAUACAGGAAGUCUACAGAAAGACACAGGAAGAGGAGGCCACACCUAAAUGCUGGCAAGGGAGCAGGCAACAGGGUCAGACGCCAAGCCUCAGACCCCUCCUGGAUACGAACCAUCCCCUGCCUCAUCAGAGCCUGGGAAGAUUUCCUACUCGUGAGGCUAACGAAUCGCUCAGAACACAACCAUCUCAUUAAGCAAUUAGCUCUGGGAGCGCCAAGGCAAGGAAGUGACCUCACUGGCCGCUCGACAAGACACCGCCCUGCCGCUGGGGAGGAAGGUAACAGGGUAAUCAUGACCACGGUGGGAGGGACAUUGAUGGUGAUGUCAAGUGACGGAAAAGGUGACGGGUGUCAGAUCUCUGUGAUGGUGGAGGAGAUGCUGGGGCUGGGAACUGACUUGAUGGUGGUGCAGGGGAUGGUUGAUGGUGGUGGCAGAUCACAGCGGUGAUGGCAAGGUGACAUUGGUAGUGAUGACUGACGGGGUAGACCCUGUGGCUGGGCUCCCUCAGCCUCCAUCCCAUCCUCCUCAAUGACAGGGAAGUUGGAAAGUUAGCAACGACAUAGCCCUCCCUUGUGGCGUUUACAUGUGGAUUCACUGGGGCAGAAUCUGGAUGGCAGAAGCGAGGCGGAGUCCUUUCCAAGCUUUGGUUUUCUAAUUUCUAAUAAUAGUAGAGCACUGCUGGAGUUCCUGUUGUGGUGCAGCGGAAACGAAUCCGACUAGGAACCAUGAGGUUGCGGGUUCGAUCCCUGGCCUCACUCAGUGGGUUAAGGAUCCAGCGUCGCCAUAGCUGUGGUGUAAGUCACAGAUGCGGCUCGGUUCCCACAUUGCUGUGACUGUGGUGUAGGCUGGCAGCUACAGCUCCAAUUAGACCCCUAGCCUGGGAACCUCCAUAUGCCGCAGGUGAGGCCCUAAAAAAAAAAAAAAAAAAAAGGCAAAAAAAAAAAUAAUAGAACAUUGCUGGCCACAUAAUAAGCACUAUCUACAAUUUGGUUGUUGUUACUUUUUUUUUUUCUUGCUCUCUUUUGGCUGUUUCUGCUGGCCAGCAAGAUUGCAGUGAACAGGUGGUUUUUCUGCCACAGUGUCCUGAUAUUGGGUCCAGCUUCCAGCUUGCCCAAAGGCUGUGGCAAUGCUGAUCAUGGUAGUAGCAACUUCUUACCUGCAGCUUCCUGCUGCUCCCUGGACUGAAGCUCCAGGGGAGUGUUCUGGAAUUCACAGCACCAAAGGCAGUGGCUCUCUUGGCGGGUCAGUUCUGUAUGAUUCAGGGGGUCCUUCCAAGAGGCAUGGCUUAUUUGUCCUCUCCAGUGAUUGUCCUGCAUUCAAUAUCUUCCUGAUAAAAAGACCAAGGGGAGUGGGCAAAUACAGUUUGAGAGCCCGAGGAUGGUUAGAGCUGCUGAUGCUUGAAGUCACAAGACAUGGGUGGUGAUGGUGUCUGGUGAGGAGCAUGGAGCUAAAUUGACAGGUACUUGAUCUUGAGACUGAUGGAAAUGGUGAUAGUGACAGUGUCUGGUGGAGAAGGUAGGUGACUACAAGAGUUGUUUGCCUCAAGAAUCUGCUCUGGCUGACCUAAGAGGAAAUGAAAGAUGAUUGGGGAGCUCCCAGAAUGGACACAAAGCCUAGUCAUCCAGGCUGAGACAAAGGGCAGGAACUAAAGACGUCACAGCAUUGGACCGACCGAGCCCCCUCUAUAAGACACCGCAGACACAACUGUCACCAUCAGGGACCACGCGGACCCCUGCUCCCAAAGGCCACCUUCCUGAGUGAAUUCUAACCCCUCCUAUAUUUUCAUCCCUCACUGGAGAUUCAAAGUUCUGGGCUGAGGCAUCCACCUGGCCAAGUCCAGGUCAUGAGCCAUGUCCUAUCUGCCCAGGAGUGGGAAGAGGGGUCUGCGGUCCCCUUAGCUUCAGUAGUAGGAUGUCCAUCAAGACUCACGCAGCAGGGGCUUCCCGCCAAAGAGAAACGGGAUUGGGAUGCAGGGCAACCAGAACACAACAAAAUCUCACCCAGUAAGGAAGCCUGGUGGGGAUGAUGGUAUGAAGCUGAGAAGAGAUGCUGCUUUGUUUAUUAAAACCAAAACUAAGUCAGAGGCAGCUGGACCUUUCAACACUAGCCACACCCAAAGCUCCUUAUGAUUGCCCACCAGGUCCUGCUGUCACCACCAUAGGCGCCCCAUGGGGCCCCAGGAAAGAUGUUCCAUGCUCUGCCCUUUCCCUUGCAGCGCAGCACAGAACAGAAACCUGAACAUUCAAACAGGAUGUUAGCAAUGGCCCAGGAAGAACAAAAGGGAAACAAACACAGGCAUCUGUUCAUUUAUUCCACAUCCUUUUAUUGGGCACCAAUCGGGUACCAGACUCAGCAGAGGAUGAGGUCUCUACCUCGCAGAGCUUACAAUGUAGUGGGGCAGACAGUCAAACCAGUAGACAGGAUUCAGGGGGGCAGGAAACACAAGGAGGAGGAGGUGGAGAGGAACUGAGGGAGCCCCUUUGGAGGAAGAGGUCAGGGGAGGGCUCUGAACUGAAGCUGAAGCCAGACGUGCAAAGAUGGGGGUGGCUGUGGGUUCCGAGGCCCUGUGGCCAGAACAAGCUUGUGCUUGUGGAGCAGAAAGGUGGCCAUGCAGCGGAAGCACAGGGACUGGGGGUGGGAGGAGAAAGAAUUGACAUUUUAGGAGUUCCCAUUGUGGGUCAGCAGUAAUGAACCUGACUCAUAACCAUGAGGAUGAGGGUUCGAUCCCUGGCCUUGCUCAGUGGGUUAAGGAUCCGGCCUUGCUGUGAACUGUGGUGUAGAUUGCAGAUGCGGCUCCGAUCCUGUGUCAUUGUGGCUGUGGCGUAGGCUGGCAGCUGUAGCUCCGACUGGACACUUAGCCUGGGAACUUCCUUAUGCCAUGGGUGCAUCUCUAAAAAGCAAAAAAAAAAAAGAAUUGGCAUGUGAUUCCCAUCAAUGGGAAGCCACUAAGGGCCCUCCUUGGAGGGUCCUCAGGCAUGAGUCCAGGAAAAGACGAGCAGGAUGCAGGACGGGGCAGAGGGUCAGCAGAGGUAAGGCAGGGCCUCCCCCGGCUCCUGCUUCUUCAGUGAGGUGUGAGGCUAGGUCACUGCUCAGGGGGAGCAGGAGAUGGCAGGACUUGUGUCCAUGAGGCCACGCGGGCUUCCAGGGUCCUAGAAGAGCCGUAAUACAUCCCUGGGGAACCCGGGUCCUAAUCAUCCCCCUGGACCCCUCCUGGAAGUUUCCCUGGAGGAUGGAGGCGCUUCCUUGGCUGAGAAGAGGCCAAGCAGUAAAACUGAAGUCUCGACCAUUACAAGCACAAGGUCAAUCAUGAGCAUCGUCACCGCCACCUUUACACCAAUGGGCACAAGGACAGGACAGGAAACCCUCAAGGGCACCUUGACUCUGUGAUCCAGCAGGACCGCAGCCCCUAGCUGCCCUGUGGAUGGCAGUGGGACUGUCCUGGGACAGGGUGGUGUGCUGGAGCUGGCUCCUACAUGCUUGAGAGAGCCGACUCCACGAGCCUCUUCCCACCUCCAUGAGCCUCUUCCCACCUCCAUAAGCAAUGACGCCACGUGGGUAGCUUGAAAUCGGCCACAGUGGAGGGCUUUCGGUUAUUUUUCCCAGCUAGCCAGCUGGCCAACCUACUUUUGGACAGUGCCCCAGGGACAGUUAGAGAUCCUGCCCCACACCAUUUGUCUCUGCAAAAACUCCUGAGCCUGGAGCAGGACCAGUGGAAGGAGACAGCCACGCACGACCAGAGUCCCGGUGGGCAGCUGGGCUGGUGGGCAGAUGCUGGGUGGAGGUGGGAAGUCACCUCCUCUCAAUUCACACCUGAUGGUGGACCAGAGAGCCCUGGCAUCACAUUCACCGGAGCCUCUGCUCCAGCCCUGGGGCCUAAAGGAAGGCCUAUGGGCUCCCAGCUGGACUGCCUGACUCACCCUCCUGGGCUGGGUCUGUCCUGGGAGGGACCAAGGGCUGCUUCUCCCUGCUCUCUGAUCCCAGGAUGAGCGCUGACCUUGGUCAUAAACUGGACCUGAGCCCAGUGACAAAGAUCUCCACCCAGACCCAGACAGAACCCCACCCUAGAUCUGGGCUGGGCUAUGAUCGGGCCACAGAAAACACACUCCCACCUUCAUCUGCCCCUGCCACAGGCUCAGCCCUAAAAUCAUGACAAAGCCCGGCCCUUGAGCCCAAAGGGGAGCAGGGCUGGAGAGGGGUUGGCUCAGCACCAUCCACCUCUGUAGUCUGAGCUCCUGCCUGGGAAGCAAACAGUAAGAAAUCAAACCAAAUUAAAACCCACUAGCAUCUCCUCCUUGCUUUAGAGACACAUCUUGGUCUUAGGAAAUAAAGCCUAAAUGCAAAGCAUAUUUUCUAAGCCCUAACCCCUCCCCAUCCGUGUCAGACUCCCUCUUUGGUUUGGAGGAUUCUUGCCCUAAACCUCCUUCCCCAAAGCCCCCAAACACAGAUCUCCAGGUCACCAGGAGGAGAAGGAGCUGUGAAAGCCCCAGGAACUUCAUCUGAGAACCUAGGGAGUAGAAGCCAGGCCCUGAUCUGGCUAAUGGCUAAGACCCUUCUUCUCUACAGCCUCAGUUUCCCUGUCUGUACAGUGAAAGAUUUAACCUUGCAGCUCUAAUGUCCAAAGUUAAGGCUCUUUUUGUUUAUUUUGUCUUUUUUUUUUUUUUUUUUUUUUUUUUUUUUGUCUUUCUAGGGCCGCACCUGCAGCAUAUGGAGGUUCCCAGACUAGGGGUCUAAUCGGAGCUGUAGCCACCGGCCACAGCCACAGCCACAGCAACGCAGGAUCCGAGCCGCGUCUGCAACCUACACCACAGCUUACGGCAACGCCGGAUCCUUAACCCACUGAGCGAGGCCAGGGAUCGAACCCACAACCUCAUGGUUCCUAGUUGGAUUCGUUAACCACUGAGCCACGACGGGAACUCCCAAAGUUAAGGCUCUCGAUGGAAAUUUAGGGCCCCAUGUUCAAGGGCUGGAAGAGUUGUGCUUCCUGGAUAAUUCAGACCCAGAAAACCCAGGCAACUUUUCUUAAAACCUGUGUGGGGAGUGAGAUCCCAUUGUGGUUCAGAAGGUUAAGAACUUGACAUAGUGUCUGUGAGGAUGCAGGUUUGAUCUCUGGCCUUGCUCAGUGGGUUAAGGAUCUGACGUUGCUGCAAGCUGUGGUGUAAGUAGCAGAUGCGGCUCGGAUCUGGCGUUGCUGUGGCUGUGGCUGCAGCUCUGAUUCAACCCCUAGCCUGGGAACUUCAUAUGCCACAGGUGUGGCCAUAAAAAGAAGAAAACAAAACAAAACAAAACGAAAAUGCAAAAAAAAAAAAACCCUAUGUGGGAUACUGGAUUUAAGUCCUGGGAUGUCAUCUUAGCUCUGAUACCUUGCACUCACUAGUGACUUGGCUUCUCUGGGCC